CGUGAAUCAUCAUUCCUUUGCACUCGAGCCGUCGUACCGCGGUUAGCUAGAACGGGACAGCGAGAGGCAAAAAACCCCAACGCUGUGCUGAAGUACGUGCAUCACUUGCACGAACAAAUAAAAUAUCCAACGAGUAGAGAGCAAAAUAUGUGGGCAACUGGCAAAAAAGAAGGUAUUUGCACGCGCCGAAGGUAAACGAGAUUCGGUGCUUGUGUCGGAUGCUUUCCUAUAGGCUCCGCACACGUACAGUCACGACCACAAGCACGCGGACGGUACAGGAAGAAGUGACUCGCAAGUGAAACAAUACAUCAUACACAAACACCCCAUAGUUGGAGGAAAUUAAUAUCGCGUACGAAAGAACAACAGGCCACGGGGCUUGUAAGUGGUAGCUGUGUUGUGGCCACUGUUGCGUGUUCUUCCUUGGUGACGUAUUUUCUAGAAGUGCACGGUGCUGCCGCGCAAAACAGCAUCGUGAUUUCGUUUUUAGGAAUGCUACGACAAUGAGUGGUUUAUGACGGAUUAGCUACUGCCUGGUUUUAUGUUCACGAUUGUCCGGUGGCCGUUCAAGUGGUGAAAACUUCAACAACGUCUACUCUGUGUGUGUGUGCGUGCGUGGUGUCUAGCUAGGUGGGUGGAAAAGGGAAAAAAAGCAUCAGGAAAAUGCCACAGCGCUACGAAUAGUGAAACCGUCGGUGGGUGAACCAUUCUGCGUUCCGGAUCAGCGGAUCUGUAAUGCCGAAAAACCGCUACGAGCUACCGUCAACCAAUAGACACGGCGUACAUCCAGGGUAGGAAACGCGUUCGGUCACAACCCGUUGAGAAGAGACCGCUAUUUUAGCGCUUAGAACGCGCUCCGGUUCAUCAUAUCCGGGGUGUUGCGAGAAGAACCGCCGCGUCGAUAUUAAUUCACACGAAACACGCGGCAGGAAACGAGAAUUCGCUAGUGUGGUUGAGUGUGUGUGUGUGCGUGUUGAUUACACAGGUGCUCGCGACACAGGUGCCAUUAUCAUAUCGUCAUCCUCCGUUCGUGGCCGCAUCCACGCUCCACCGGCCCACGGCCACACAUAUCGACAGUUUUGAGUACGUGUGUGCUUUGACAUUUCGGUUUCCACGAUUGGGCGCGACAGGAUACGGUUGCUCGUGGCCGAGGAGGAGGAGGAAGAGGAGGACGACGCGGCGACGGCAGACCGAUCCGACGUUGAACGGGGACGGAGCUGGCCACCGUACGGUGCGGGGAAAUCAAACAUGACGAAAAAAUCGUUAAGAAAACCCAUCAUGGUGCUGCGUAGCCGUAAGACGGCCAUCAUCAAGGACGGCGUGAUAACGGUAAUGUAUCUCAAAAGAACUAUCUUAUUCCACACAUUUUUACCCGGCCUAUGAUGAUGACGAAGGAACCAGCAGUAAGAUAUAUUUAUUUACAUCCAGAAAAGAUAAGGCUGAAGAACAAAGAUCGAAGAUAAGCGAUGGGUAAUGCUUUUUCCUUCAGCAAGAUCGUACAUGUUUUCGCCGCCGUUCGGCUUGUCUUCAAUUUUGCAGCUUGUAUUUAAAAAUGUUAUAAUAUUGUGUAUAUUGCGGAACUGAUCUUUUUUCUAGGUUUUAUAAGAUUUGAGUGCGUGGGACAAUUUGUAGGAUAAGAAAGUAAAAUUUCAACUGUAAACAUAACAUCGGUUUGGCACUGUUUAAUUGCAUCAUUUGUACUUAUCGUUUGAAGCAAAAACGAUAAGUUCGAUUCACCUGUCAGUUGUGUAGCUAGUGAGAGCGAAAGUUUUGAGCACCGUAUCGUUUUGCGUUCGGUGCCCACUUGGAACAACAAUAUCCGCUCGCUCUCUAGUCCACCAAAUAAUCCCAGUGGGAAAAUGUUGGCAGAGAAUGAAGAACAUUGCGUUGCACUCGGGGUGAAUGAAUGGGGGGGUUGUUUUGCGGUCCUGCACUCAAAUGCACGAAGCACGAGUUCUGAGCAGCAGAUGAUACUCUCUCUUUCGUGGAAUAUACCACUAACACUUGAUGGCCAUCCGGCUCCCCCUCCUCCACCCGGAACGUAAACAUACACCCCCAUUCUUCGUCCUUCCGUUCUACCAACAAAAGUUCUGUAUUGGGGAUGAUGGGGAUGGAAAAAUUUGCACCCCAAUGGAGAGAGGAGAUGUAACGCUCACGCGCUCACGGAAACGUCCGAUCGAGAGACGGCUACGCUCUUGACGCGGCAACACGGGUCUUUUCUCGGUCAGCUUCCGACGUGGUGGCCUUCGUAUAGCAGCAGUUCGUGGUUUACCAUCGAACGCGUAUGAAGCCGUUCGUCGUUUUUGGUUUCUUAUUUUUUCGGUGAACAAAAAUGGUGGAGUCUUGUGGUGUUGUUGGAUCGUUACAGCAACGGUGACUGUUCACCACGGACAUCGAACAACCGAAACCUACGCAGUGUUUGCCUGGCAAAAGAAACAUAAAUUCCAUCUAGAAUGGGAUGAAAAACGCAUCCCAGCAGCCAGAGAGAAUACGAAGCAGCGAAAGGAAAUUGCUUCUUUCAGAGUGUCACUUUGACGGUGGUUGUUUGAGUGUGUGAAGGCGAGAAAAGUUUUUGGUGGUUUGAAAGAAUUUUCACCAGUUCAUUGUUGGUUGGAGCAAACAAAGAAAGAAGAAAAUUGCACCCUACGUGUUUGGUCCCACGGUGAAGAUCGCUAGUGUGUGUAUUCAGUUUUCCCAGUGCGACAAUAAUAAAACGUAUACAUUUCCCGUUCUGCCGUGCUUCUGGCCGUGUUAGCUAAUCCGUACCAACCGUUUGGAAACAACCUGCUGUGCAUAAUUCUAUUUCAAAUCGGAAAACCUAUCCAUACCAUAAUCUUACACCUACAGUGUGAGUGCGAGAGAGAAUCCUCAAAGAAAAAAGUGCAGUUUUAUUAAAGAAAAAAGAAUGCUUAAGCAAUAAUUCCUAUCGUACGAUUUGGUUGACAGCUCUGUGAAGAAGAUAACGUAACUAGUCGAUGUUAUGAAGACGUAAAAAAGUAUCUCUUGUCGAAAUUUUAAAACGUUGUGUGGUUGCGACACACGUACUGCAGCUGAUGCCUCAUACUCUGCCCAAGAGACGGACAUAUUUGGCACGAUUCGAACAACAACAACACACGGAAUGCAAGGCACGAUAGCACAACAGCCAGCACGGCAACAGCAACCCUGCCUGCACGGGAAACAACAACCUUCCAGAGUGAGCAAUCAAUGCGUCUGAAGCAAGACGAGACCUCGAAAGAAAAAAACACUCGAACAAAGAAGCGAACACUGUACGGUGUGCAAUUGUGAAGAAGUAUAUAGAUCGUUAAAUUCAGUGCCUCUCAACCAAUAAUACAAGCAAGCAGCAAGAAAUCCGUUCAAUUUUCACUACAAUUCAGCCACCCAACAGUGGCUCGGUGCAUAGUCUAGUUUUGACGAAUUAGCAGUAGAAAGGUACGUUGCAGGUACGUGAAAGCAGGUUGUUGGAAGACGUCCAGAGGAGUCACACCGGAUACGGAGCACAAUCAGUAUCACCACAUUGCUUAAUUUGGCGAAGAGAAGAAACAGGAACAGACACAGUACUUCCUGAGCAGACUGAAAGCUUUAACACGUGAACGGCAGGGGCUGCGUUCGAUCUGAACUGGAUGCAGUGUGUUGAAUACCUUGCGUAACCGAACCAUAAAUCUACCGAAGCGAACCAGGUGAACCACAAAACGGCCUACAGAAACAGAAGUAUAUAUUUUUAUUGCAUUACGUUGUGUGCCUGUGGUUGUCUGCUGGCUGUCGAAGACGUUUGGAAUUCAUUCGAGCAAAGAAACGCCAGCAAGAAUUGGAUUGGUGGUGUGCAGUAAAGAAGCAACGGCCCAGCGUACUAUUCCCGUCAUACCUCAACCUUUAACCUGUACGACUGUAAGGACAGCAGGAGAAAAAAUAGUUAUUUUUUCAUCGACUAUAUUCGACAAGUUCCUACGCGACGCGAAGCGAUAUUUUUUAAAAUACAUUGCGCUUGCGAUGAAGAUAUAAAAAUUCAAAGUAAAACCAUCAGCACAAAUCAUUUCCCGAAACGAAAACCACACGUCCCCGGUCCGAUAGUGAUAGGUCGUGGUCGUGAAGCUACAUCUGUCAAAGUACGGCGUUUUGCAAACGUGUCAAUAAGAGGCCACCGUGCACAAGCCGGGUUCGCAAUUCCGUCCGUCCGGUACGGUUGAUUGGCGUCGGCGUCGGAAGUUAGAUGCGUACGGUACGAAAUCGGCUAAUGUACAUAAACGCACACCGAGAAGAUUUAACCAUUCGCCCGUCGUACCAUGUGUGCCGCCGUACUGUGUUAUCGCGCAUGGUGUUAAUUUUAGAAUCGAUUCCCGCGGCACAACCUGAGGGACGAAUUUAUCCGCAAGCACAGUGAACGGUGCGCGGUAACGACCGGGACGACCAAUUCCGUACAUGCUUGUUAGCCACACUCUCUCUGUGUGCUAUUUCAGCAAGACGUAUGCAUAAUCACGCCACUGGCAGAUGGCUACCUGGUGGUUGAAGGACAGCAAAUGAGCAGCGAAAAAAUACUAGCAACGCUAGCAAAGUUCGCAGAGCGGGAAAUUCACGCAUAAGCUGUAAAUUGCAUCCCAAAAAAGGGAACACAGCUGCUUUCGCGUUUCGAUACACAGCAGGGGAACGAAUAUCGAACAAGAUCUAUUUAAGACCCACAAGCAUUACUAGUUAAAUGAGCCCAAGUCGCUGUCAUUAUUGUUAUCACUGUUGUUGUUGUGGCAGCGGAAGCCGGAAUAGAACCAUUAGCAGCAGUAGCGGACGGAUCGGUGGCCGAGGUCCGCUUGGCUGGAUGCAGCUUUGGCAGCGCAAAGUAGCAAUCGCUGGCAGCAGGGAAAAGUUUGCCGAUUAACCGUGCGGCGCCGUGUACCAAGCAGUGGAAAAAGGGGGUCAAUUCGUUGGUAAAGCGAAGGCAACGGUAUAGUACAAGUGAUGGAGCAUUCGGCAAAGUUGUUGGCCGGUGGUGCGGGUGACGCCAGCACGGAAGAGUCGCACGUCGUGGGUGAGGCGGCACCAGCAGUUCCUGGUGUUGCGUGUCAUCCGAGCCCGCAGCUACGGCCAGCAACCGGAAAUGCAAGUGAUGCGGUAGUCUGUGAUAGAAGUAACGUGGUUACUAUGGAAGCAGUUGGCGAAACCUUACCACUGUCCGGGCGUUCGUUGGAUGCAGAGCUGGGGGAGGACAACUGCACCGAUACGGAUGAUCAGAAUAGUAAUUAUCUAAGCAUUAGUAAUAGUCGCAGCAGUAGCUGCUUUGACCUACCUGGAGAGUGCUCACCAAUGAUGGGCGCAACGAGAUUGCCGAUGUCGAAAGCAGACGAGAGCCGAGUAACGCUGGUUAACGAAAGGUAUAUACAAUCGGUAAAUGCCGCCGUACCUGCGCAAUCCCAGCGACAGGUUCAAGUUGCUGGGAGUAGUAAGAUUUCUGGGUCAAAGCAACGACUCGAUUACGGUGAGGAGGACGCCGAGGAGGAAGAUGACGAUGAGGAGGAUUCGUCGAUGUUAACGCAUUCAGCCGCAACGACGGCAACCGUUUCGUCCAACAAAUCCCGUAUACUUGUGGCCUCGGAACAGCAGCCCGGAUGUUCGGGCAGCAGAGGUCCGGAUGCUGGCGUUUGCUGUAACAUCGUGGACAAUCCGGUCAGCGAUACGGCCACGGCGAUCGACGUCGGAAGUACGGGUAAUAGCGCACAGGAUGGUACGCGCACAUCGGCGGCAACUGGGACGGCUAAUGGAGUUGUGGCCGGUGGCAGUGGAAACCCACACAGCCGUGUCACGACGACUCCCUCAAACUUAAGCAAUUGCAGUGGCCUACCGACUGUCACCGUGGUGCAGCUGAAGCAGAGCAAAAAUCUCAUCUACUUCCUGCGAUUGAUCUUCAAUCACUGUAAGAGCUCCGGUAUAGGAGAACCGAGCGUUUAUCAUGCCUUAGUAGUCAUAUUUUUGGAAUUUUUCGCCUGGGGACUUUUAACGAUGCCUGUCAUAAAUGUUCUCAAUCAAACCUUCCCAGAUCACACCUUCCUUAUGAACGGGUUGGUAAUGGGCAUAAAGGGCAUACUAUCAUUCCUGAGCGCUCCACUGAUUGGUGCCCUUUCGGACGUGUGGGGCCGGAAAUUCUUUCUGCUAAUUACGGUGUUUUUCACCUGCGCUCCGAUUCCACUUAUGUCGAUCAACUCAUGGUGGUUCUUCGCAAUGAUCUCAAUCAGCGGUGUGUUCGCGGUAACGUUUUCCGUUGUGUUUGCUUAUGUAGCAGACGUUACGACAGUGGAGGAUCGUUCACGAGCGUAUGGUCUGGUGUCAGCCACCUUUGCCGCUAGUUUGGUUAUUUCACCUGCACUCGGAGCUUACUUGAACGACAAAUACUCGGAACCGUUAAUUGUAGCCCUGGCCACGGCAAUCGCUGUGCUGGAUGUGUUCUUCAUUCUGGUGGCGGUGCCGGAAAGUUUACCGGAAAAAGUACGACCCAGCUCAUGGGGAGCCCCGAUCAGCUGGGAACAGGCAGAUCCGUUUGCGGCGCUCCGUAAAGUUGGUCUGGAUCAAACGAUUCUGAUGCAGUGUGUUACGGUGCUGCUCUCUUAUCUGCCAGAAGCGGGACAAUAUUCGUGCAUUUUCGUCUACCUGAAACUGAAAAUGCAUUUCAGCUCGAUCGAUGUAUCGAUCUUUAUUGCUGUCGUCGGUAUACUAAGUAUACUGACGCAGGUCAUCCUAGGUGAUCUAAUGAAGGCACUUGGUGCAAAGCGUACAAUAAUAAUAGGAUUACUGUUCGAAAUGUUACAACUGCUUUGGUAUGGUUUUGGCAGUCAGACAUGGAUGAUGUGGGCAGCAGGUAUCCUUGCUUCAUUAGCGUCAAUUACGUAUCCGGCGAUCAGCGCAUUCGUGUCGAUACAUUCCAACCCGGACCAACAAGGGGUGGUCCAGGGUAUGGUGACAGGGAUGCGCGGCCUCUGUAACGGUCUAGGGCCAGCAAUGUUCGGCGUCAUUUUCUACGUAUUUCACGUCGACCUGAACGACGAGCAUAAUGUGGCGAGCCAUAGUCUUAACGGAGCCGCUAUUGGUGCUGUGGCUGGUGGAGGAGUUUUCGACGGAUCCGAUGCAAAGUUUGUGCGUAACGAGACGCUACUCGGCGGCUCGGUGCACCAUCACAUCGAGGACGAGUACUCACAGCUAAUGCCGGGCCCUCCGUUCGUGUUCGGGGCGCUGAUGGUUAUAUGCGCCAUCGCCGUGGCAGCAUUCAUUCCGGAGACGCCAAGCGAUACGAUCCGGCGGCCAUCGGGUGAGAAGAAAAAAAGCGGCUAUCGGAGCCAAGACAGAUUGACCGUUCUUAUUGGAGACUGAUUAGCGCGGUGAUAAGCAACGGGCGAUAUACAACAAUUCGAUCGCCCAAAGAAAGAGGGAACAGAAGAAACGGACAGAAAAGUGCGAGCAUAGACUUUUUCACGAACCUCACCAAACCAUUAACACCAGCCAUUGCACUCUUUGCUACCCUUUGUGUGCCGCACUUAGCUCACUGGAUAGUUUGAAACAUUGCAAAAGUAUCCACCUGAAUUGCUACCGACCCUUGUGGAAGUUGUGUGUUGGUUAUGAAUUCAUUUUACUUUUCCGUUUUAUUACCAUCAUUAACACACCCACUACGAGGGAAUACUUAUCCCAGCAAAGGCGGUUUGUUUUGAAUGGCUCUCGUUGGAUGUCGAUUAUGAAUACGAGCGUGGGCGUAAGGUAGCUGGCCCACUGUCACCACUGAUGCACCAGGACUCUGCUCAGCUAUAGUUGUGUUGAAAGUAACUUAGCACCCGCUGCACGUUGGUGGUGUUACGCGCUCGCUAUAAUCCUAAUCGUCGUCAUCAUUAGUUUGUACAAUCUAGUGUAAGCAGCAAAUGAAACACCUUUGGUAACACUGAGAAACCGAGAAUGGAUGUAGCGUGCAGGAAACAUGUAAAUCAAGGUCUAGGCAGGGUAGCGUUUUUGGUAACGUGGCGGAGUGGUGGUAUGUUGUUGGCGGAAGAAAUGUGUGCUGUAUAAAAUGUAUUAAUCUGUUUGCUUUGUUUCGGACUAUGAAAGCUCAUGGCGUUCCCCCUGUGGUUGUUACAUAAAACAGUAUCGUGAGUUAUUGUCACUUAAAACCAUGAUCUGUUUCCUUCAAUGGCUGGUUAAGGUUUCUCUUUUCAUGAUUUGUUUUAUAAGUAUUGUUUGUUGAAAAGAAAUAUUUGUUCAUGUGUACGGUUCUUUUUUUCUAUUUUCUCUAUUUUAGAUUGUGUAUGUGCAUGGUGGUUAUCGACCAAAAGUGUACUUUUAAACGAUUACUGAUUUGUUAGGAUGGAAAGCUUUAAACAAAAACCCAAACUGUGUUGUACGGUACGAAAGUUUUGAAACAUAUAACUACCGCUCUGGCAGUUGUGGCACAACGAACCUACAUAGGACCGUAACGCUUUUAAAGAAUUUUUCAAAGUAUGUCCAAUUGUUUUCCUUAGUCUAGUCAAUUGACGGACACACUUAACGAGAAGAUGUAAAAACACACAGCUGAUGCUGGUAUUACCGGGUUUGGGAUUACCUUCACGAACACUAACUAAUUGUGCGUUAUUUUCUAGCGUGCGAUAUUUUAGUGUUGAUAGUAAGGAAAUGUUUUGGUGACGGAAGGAGAAUGACGUGUAUAAAUUAGGACUGAAAGUGGAAAUGGGUAUAUAACGCGCGAGGAAGAGUAUUUUUGUCCGUGGUUCGCUUAGUCUACGACAAGGAAACCGAGUGAUAGUAGGAUAAGAUUAUCGUUUAGCAAAAACAGGAAGGAGCGUGGAAGGAGAAACAAACGAGCAGCUAGUGUGUGCGUGUGUGGAAAGCAACAAAUCAGAACGUUACAGUGUUACACAUCUAUCCGUAAUACCGAAAAACAAAGGCACUACCAUUAGGUUUUUUAGCUAACUGGAGCAUAUGUUAAGUGUACUGUGUAAAUUAUGUUAAAAUAGAAUGUUUCAAGAAUUUAAGGACAUCGUUUGACUUUGAUUCGAUUUAACUGCUGCAUCAGAAAUGCGAUUGAAAGGAAGAUGAUUUAAAUUCGUUAAUACCGGACACAGUUGAAGCAAGUCAGGAGCCUCCCAAUUCAUUUGCGGUCAUGUGGCAGAUGUGUGUCGUCAAUGGCAUGUUUACCUGUAUGCAGUAGAAAAGGUGCAAAGAGAUUUCCUUUAUAUAACACCGCCAAUAGCAUCCCAAGGUGUAUGGCAUCAACAAGUUACUUUUGAGUAUCAAUGCGUACGAUAAGCUCAUGAUUCAGGUUGAAUAUAUGUACAACUUCAUUAGGCACUACGUGUUGGGAAAAUUGUUUACGAUCGAUUCGUUUCCUCCAACACAGAUAAGAAUAAUGCCAUACGUAUCUGCAAAUUGACAUACCAGCACGAAAUCUUUAGUGUAAUAUAAGAAAACAUGUACAUGUCAGAAGUAAAAGCAAAAAACCAAGUUACAUAGCAGUACCAGAAUUAAAUCCAGAGGUAAAUAAAAUAGUGAUAGCCAUGUAAAUGCCACUCGUCGCCGUAGGGCAGAACAUCGUACACCGUUACGAUGAUCUUAGGCCGGGCAUUUGUAACAAAAUGCAAUGUCUGAUCUUGGAUGAUCGUGACUGGAUCUACUAGGCGAGACACACUGUUAGUCCAAAGAUUAUGAAUUAACUUGAACUACUAGCGCUAGAGAGUUAGUAUUACGCAUAAAAGCAUCAAGCGUUGCGACGAGCGUUUUAAGAUACAAAUGUCGCGGAAAACAAAUGUUGCAGCUGGGACACAUGUCAUCUAAGCGGGCAGAUAAAAACAAGUAACAAAAAAAAAACAAUAAAAUACAAAACCAACAUAAGUAAUGGAAUCUAACAUACGACAAAUGCAAAGGGACGGUAGGGGAAAUUAGUUCCAUUUGUUUUGGUCCCGAACUUCUCUGCAUGCAACGAAAUGAUCGAAUUGCGUUGAAAUGAAAGAUGGCGUUUGUUGCAUAAGGAACGGCGGUAACUAGCUGCCGUAACCUAGCCCGAAAACUUUGCGCGAUAUCACACAGUAGGAACAUGUUUUUUGUAGUGUCCAGGAAAUACGUUUUUGGGAAGCAGAAAAUGCAAAACAUCAAUCAAAAAGCAAAGCGAAUAUAAGCUGUUGUUAAACCGUUUUAUCUUAACUAGCCCUUUUGUUUUCUAUCGGCUAGAAACGCUACUUCAUCUCUGCGGUCUAGCAGCAGCCUUUUAUGGUGAUGCAAAUAAAUAGAAACAUUCUUUCUUACACACUUGACACACAACACACAUCCAGGCGUUCAUGCCGAAUCAACAACACCAAUGUACUGAAGUGUUGCUAGCGUGUCCUUAUGUUUCCCCCCCCCCCCCCCGUGUGCCGUUUACGAUACGCUUUUCUACGCGGCUCUGUUUGUGAACCAUUUGUUUUUGUGUUCAUUAUCUCGGGAGAACACUUGUGCAAGUGAAGGUACCGUAGAGGCAUAGAGAAAUUUGAAAAUAAAAGCCAUACGCGGGCAUAUAUAAGGAAAAACAGCGAAAUCAAAGCGUUACAUACAUCCUUUUUUCUUUCAAUAUUUUUCUCUCUAUCUCUCCCCAGCUGAGCUUUUCGAAAGCAUUUCAAAAGGCGAAAAUGAUGGAGAGGAGGGGAGCGAGAAAGAUAUUUGAGAGCAAACGUAGAACAGCCCAGUUAAGUAAAUUUGUAAAUCGUAAGACAACAAAACCAGGAAUAAGAAAGUAUGCGAUGAGGAGAAAAACCGUACCGAAACCGUACAGUGGAAAUACAGAAUCUAAACCGGUUAGAGAAACCAAGCUGUAAAACAAUUGUAAGGUGAUAGUAGCUGAUGGCUGAUAGUUGUGUUGGGUGAAUGUGUAUAGGACGAAGAAUGGAAAAGGUGGGUGUGCUAGGUUAACCCAAUAACCGUGAACCGUUGAACGUGUUGAGAACGAGAAGGGAAUGGGUAGGCAAACGAAUGAAGAGAAGAAGUGAAAUAAAUAUUGGUAAAAUAAUUUGAACAAAA
RNA transcript from Anopheles funestus (African malaria mosquito), 10998 nucleotides. It is a transcript of the gene named hippocampus abundant transcript 1 protein, with no coding region annotated. The transcript is spliced from 13 exons. Lineage: Eukaryota; Metazoa; Arthropoda; Insecta; Diptera; Culicidae. The record is from RefSeq and is a predicted model, not a curated record.